Molecule: long non-coding RNA, 1052 nt
Organism: Bombyx mori (domestic silkworm)
Lineage: Eukaryota; Metazoa; Arthropoda; Insecta; Lepidoptera; Bombycidae
Exons: 2
Source: RefSeq, a predicted model, not a curated record
UUUCAGAAUAUUGACUUUUCAAAUUUAUCUGUUUGUAGUCCUCUCUAAUGAAUUCUAGAUUUUUCUAUAAUGUAAUGAUUGAUCUAAGAAUUAUAUGGAGUUUUAUGGAGAGCCUCAAAAUAAACUGUACAUGAAUCAGUUUAAAAGUGAUUUUUGCAUAAAAUCUGUACUUCUAUUCGACCUUAUAAUUAUUUCGAGAAUUAUUUUCCUUCAACGGCCCCAUCAGCUACGAACCUUAGGUACUUCAAGCUUUUAAAGAAAAGGAAACUUCAUUCUCCUACAUAUGUACUUAUGUAUGCACAUGCUCAUUACGGAGAAUCACUAUUUUCAAACUUCCAAAUUGUGCGACCUAAUAAAUUCUAACAAAACAUCACGUUCCAUUCUCAAGACCGUCCUUAAGGAUCAAGAUAUUAAGGGGCUGAAAGAAAGAUGGUUUGUGUAUGACAUUCGAAGAGAACUUAUUUAUAAAAAAUACUUUUAUACUAACUAAUAUUAAAUAUGUUUCAUGUUACAAUAUUAGUAUUUUUAAUUUCUAAGCAUGGAUCAUAAGAAGUGCCAGUUGAAAGAUGUUACUAGAAUCCGUCCACAGACUUUAAAGGGAGUAAGUAAUCUACUCUAAUUAAAUUGAUAUGUGUGAUCUAACUAGUGCAGCAGGUUCAAGAUGCGUAUUGUUCUUGCUAGAAGCGUUCGCUACGCAUGUUGGUAGGUAUAGUCUAUGAUAGACACAAAACCCCUUAAUAGCUAAAAACGUGUUGAAUUUUACUCCAAAUUUUUUAAUUGUGGAGUUUGUAUUGUAAAAUUGUUAAUUCAUUUCAAGUAUAACUGUAUGAAAUUUGUGUUCUUUAUUUGAUUAAAUAUGUAUCAGAUACAUCAACACCCAAAACUGUAUUCAUUGUAGUGUUUUUACUUAAUUGAACGAAAUAUAGUAAAAUAAUUCCUUUGUUCAAAUCGGGUGUAGAUAGAUGUAAUAGAGUCCUCUAAUUUUGAAUUAAUUUCAGAGCUGCGUACACUUUCAGUUCAAAUAAAAUUCACAAUAAACGAAAUGGAUUUAU